RNAcentral lists this ribosomal RNA (524 nucleotides) under uncultured bacterium. Its description in RNAcentral is "partial 16S ribosomal RNA". It matches the Rfam family "Bacterial small subunit ribosomal RNA", at positions 28 to 523 of the family's 1533-position model. The record is from RNAcentral.
GACGAACGCUGGCGGCGUGCCUAAUACAUGCAAGUCGAGCGCAGGAAAUCGACGGAACCCUUCGGGGGGAAGUCGACGGAAUGAGCGGCGGACGGGUGAGUAACACGUAAAGAACCUGCCCUCAGGUCUGGGAUAACCACGAGAAAUCGGGGCUAAUACCGGAUGGGUCAUCGGACCGCAUGGUCCGAGGAUGAAAGGCGCUUCGGCGUCGCCUGGGGAUGGCUUUGGGGUGCAUUAGCUAGUUGGUGGGGUAAUGGCCCACCAAGGCGACGAUGCAUAGCCGACCUGAGAGGGUGAUCGGCCACACUGGGACUGAGACACGGCCCAGACUCCUACGGGAGGCAGCAGUAGGGAAUCUUCCACGAUGGACGAAAGUCUGAUGGAGCAACGCCGCGUGAACGAUGAAGGCCUUCGGGUCGUAAAGUUCUGUUGUAAGGGAAGAACAAGUGCCGCAGGCAAUGGCGGCACCUUGACGGUACCUUGCGAGAAAGCCACGGCUAACUACGUGCCAGCCGCCGCCGUAA